AGUGAACGCUGGCGGUAGGCCUAACACAUGCAAGUCGAACGGCAGCACAGUAAGAGCUUGCUCUUACGGUUGGCGAGUGGCGGACGGGUGAGGAAUACAUCGGAAUCUACUUUUUCGUGGGGGAUAACGUAGGGAAACUUACGCUAAUACCGCAUACGACCUACGGGUGAAAGCAGGGGAUCUUCGGACCUUGCGUGAUUCAAUGAGCCGGUGUCGGAUUAGCUAGUUGGCGAGGUAAAGGCCCACCAAGGCGACGAUGCGUAGCCGAUCUGAGAGGAUGGGCGGCCACACGGGAACUGAGAAGCGGUCCAGACUCCUACGGGAGGCAGCAGGAGGGAAGGUGCCGCAAUGGGCGAAAGCCUGACGGAGCAAUGCCGCGGGAGGGAUGAAGGGCUUGGGAUCGUAAAACUCUGUUAUUAGGGAAGAACAAAUGUGUAAGGAAAUGUUCACAGCUGGACGGUAGCUAAUCAGAAAGAGACGGCUAACUACGUG
RNAcentral lists this ribosomal RNA (492 nucleotides) under uncultured bacterium. Its description in RNAcentral is "partial 16S ribosomal RNA". It matches the Rfam family "Bacterial small subunit ribosomal RNA", at positions 29 to 507 of the family's 1533-position model. The record is from RNAcentral.